This 253-nucleotide ribosomal RNA is filed under the name uncultured bacterium. RNAcentral describes it as "partial 16S ribosomal RNA". It matches the Rfam family "Archaeal small subunit ribosomal RNA", at positions 474 to 727 of the family's 1478-position model. The record is from RNAcentral.
UACCAUCACCCCGAGUGGUCGGGACGUUUAUUGGGCCUAAAGCCUCCGUAGCCGGUUCUACAAGUCUUCCGUUAAAUCCACCUGCUCAACAGAUGGGCUGCGGAAGAUACUAUGGAGCUAGGAGGCGGGAGAGGCAAGCGGUACUCGAUGGGUAGGGGUAAAAUCCGUUGAUCCAUUGAAGACCACCAGUGGCGAAGGCGGCUUGCCAGAACGCGCUCGACGGUGAGGGAUGAAAGCUGGGGGAGCAAACCGG